GUGACCCCAGGAUGGGCGGGG
RNAcentral lists this ribosomal RNA (21 nucleotides) under Satyrium nepalense. RNAcentral describes it as "partial 26S ribosomal RNA". The record is from RNAcentral. Lineage: Eukaryota; Viridiplantae; Streptophyta; Magnoliopsida; Asparagales; Orchidaceae.